RNAcentral lists this ribosomal RNA (475 nucleotides) under uncultured soil bacterium. RNAcentral describes it as "bacterial SSU rRNA". It matches the Rfam family "Bacterial small subunit ribosomal RNA", at positions 26 to 518 of the family's 1533-position model. The record is from RNAcentral.
AGGACGAACGCUGGCGGCGUGCUUAACACAUGCAAGUCGAGCGGUAAGGCCCUUUCGGGGGUACACGAGCGGCGAACGGGUGAGUAACACGUGAGCAAUCUGCCCUUCACUUCGGGAUAAGCCUCGGAAACGGGGUCUAAUACCGGAUAUGACCGCGCUACGCAUGUGGUGUGGUGGAAAGUUCUGGCGGUGGAGGAUGAGCUCGCGGCCUAUCAGCUUGUUGGUGGGGUAAUGGCCUACCAAGGCUUCGACGGGUAGCCGGCCUGAGAGGGUGACCGGCCACACUGGGACUGAGACACGGCCCAGACUCCUACGGGAGGCAGCAGUGGGGAAUAUUGGACAAUGGGCGAAAGCCUGAUCCAGCAACGCCGCGUGAGGGAUGACGGCCUUCGGGUUGUAAACCUCUUCAGCGCCGACGAAGCGAGAGUGAGGUAGCGCAGAAGAAGCACCGGCCAACUACGUGCCAAGCAGCCGC